RNAcentral lists this ribosomal RNA (498 nucleotides) under uncultured bacterium. RNAcentral's name for it is "partial 16S ribosomal RNA". It matches the Rfam family "Bacterial small subunit ribosomal RNA", at positions 30 to 523 of the family's 1533-position model. The record is from RNAcentral.
AUUGAACGCUGGCGGCAUGCCUUACACAUGCAAGUCGAACGGUAACAGGUCUUCGGAUGCUGACGAGUGGCGAACGGGUGAGUAAUACAUCGGAACGUGCCUAGUAGUGGGGGAUAACUACUCGAAAGAGUGGCUAAUACCGCAUGAGAUCUACGGAUGAAAGCAGGGGAUCGCAAGACCUUGUGCUACUAGAGCGGCCGAUGGCAGAUUAGGUAGUUGGUGGGAUAAAAGCCUACCAAGCCGACGAUCUGUAGCUGGUCUGAGAGGACGAGCAGCAAAACUGGGACUGAGAAACGGCCCAGACUCCUACGGGAGGCAGAAGGGGGGAAUUUUGGACAAUGGGCGAAAGCAUGAUCCAGCAAUGCCGCGUGCAGGAUGAAGGCCUUCGGGUUGUAAACUGCUUUUGUACGGAACGAAAAGCCCCGGGUUAAUACCCUGGGGUCAUGACGGUACCGUAAGAAUAAGCACCGGCUAACUACGUGCCAGCCGCCGCAGUAA